CAGCCGCCGCGGUAAUACCGAGGGUGCAAGCGUUAAUCGGAAUUACUGGGCGUAAAGCGCGCGUAGGUGGUUUGUUAAGUUGGAUGUGAAAUCCCCGGGCUCAACCUGGGAACUGCAUCCAAAACUGGCAAGCUAGAGUAUGGUAGAGGGUGGUGGAAUUUCCUGUGUAGCGGUGAAAUGCGUAGAUAUAGGAAGGAACACCAGUGGCGAAGGCGACCACCUGGACUGAUACUGACACUGAGGUGCGAAAGCGUGGGGAGCAAAAAGGAUUAGAUACCCCAGUAGUCCCUGUCUCUUAUAC
RNAcentral lists this ribosomal RNA (301 nucleotides) under uncultured bacterium. Its description in RNAcentral is "partial 16S ribosomal RNA". It matches the Rfam family "Bacterial small subunit ribosomal RNA", at positions 509 to 807 of the family's 1533-position model. The record is from RNAcentral.